GAGUUUGAUCCUGGCUCAGAACGAACGCUGGCGGCAUGCCUAACACAUGCAAGUCGAACGAGACCUUCGGGUCUAGUGGCGCACGGGUGCGUAACGCGUGGGAACCUGCCUUGAGGUUCGGAAUAACUCAGAGAAAUUUGAGCUAAUACCGGAUAAUGUCUUCGGACCAAAGAUUUAUCGCCUUUAGAUGGGCCCGCGUUGGAUUAGCUAGUUGGUGGGGUAAAGGCCUACCAAGGCGACGAUCCAUAGCUGGUCUGAGAGGAUGAUCAGCCACACUGGGACUGAGACACGGCCCAGACUCCUACGGGAGGCAGCAGUGGGGAAUAUUGGACAAUGGGCGAAAGCCUGAUCCAGCAAUGCCGCGUGAGUGAUGAAGGCCUUAGGGUUGUAAAGCUCUUUUACCCGAGAUGAUAAUGACAGUAUCGGGAGAAUAAGCUCCGGCUAACUCCGUGCCAGCAGCCGCGGUAAUACGGAGG
This 476-nucleotide ribosomal RNA is filed under the name uncultured bacterium. Its description in RNAcentral is "bacterial SSU rRNA". It matches the Rfam family "Bacterial small subunit ribosomal RNA", at positions 9 to 531 of the family's 1533-position model. The record is from RNAcentral.